UACGUAGGGUGCGAGCGAUAAUCGGAAUUACUGGGCGUAAAGCGUGCGCAGGCGGAUUGUUAAGCAAGAUGUGAAAUCCCCGGGCUUAACCUGGGAAUGGCAUUUUGAACUGGCAGUCUAGAGUGCGUCAGAGGGGGGUGGAAUUCCACGUGUAGCAGUGAAAUGCGUAGAGAUGUGGAGGAACACCGAUGGCGAAGGCAGCCCCCUGGGAUGACACUGACGCUCAUGUACGAAAGCGUGGGUAGCAAACACG
RNAcentral lists this ribosomal RNA (253 nucleotides) under uncultured bacterium. RNAcentral describes it as "partial 16S ribosomal RNA". It matches the Rfam family "Bacterial small subunit ribosomal RNA", at positions 524 to 776 of the family's 1533-position model. The record is from RNAcentral.